UACACAUGCAAGUCGAGCGGGGAAAAGUAGCUUGCUACUGGACCUAGCGGCGGACGGGUGAGUAAUGCUUAGGAAUCUGCCUAUUAGUGGGGGACAACAUCUCGAAAGGGAUGCUAAUACCGCAUACGUCCUACGGGAGAAAGCAGGGGACCUUCGGGCCUUGCGCUAAUAGAUGAGCCUAAGUCGGAUUAGCUAGUUGGUGGGGUAAAGGCCUACCAAGGCGACGAUCUGUAGCGGGUCUGAGAGGAUGAUCCGCCACACUGGGACUGAGACACGGCCCAGACUCCUACGGGAGGCAGCAGUGGGGAAUAUUGGACAAUGGGGGGAACCCUGAUCCAGCCAUGCCGCGUGUGUGAAGAAGGCCUUUUGGUUGUAAAGCACUUUAAGCGAGGAGGAGGCUACCGAGAUUAAUACUCUUGGAUAGUGGACGUUACUCGCAGAAUAAGCACCGGCUAACUCUGUGCCAGCAGCCGCGGUAAUACAGAGGGUGCAAGCGUUAAUCGGAUUUACUGGGCGUAAAGCGCGCGUAGGUGGCCAAUUAAGUCAAAUGUGAAAUCCCCGAGCUUAACUUGGGAAUUGCAUUCGAUACUGGUUGGCUAGAGUAUGGGAGAGGAUGGUAGAAUUCCAGGUGUAGCGGUGAAAUGCGUAGAGAUCUGGAGGAAUACCGAUGGCGAAGGCAGCCAUCUGGCCUAAUACUGACACUGAGGUGCGAAAGCAUGGGGAGCAAACAGGAUUAGAUACCCUGGUAGUCCAUGCCGUAAACGAUGUCUACUAGCCGUUGGGGCCUUUGAGGCUUUAGUGGCGCAGCUAACGCGAUAAGUAGACCGCCUGGGGAGUACGGUCGCAAGACUAAAACUCAAAUGAAUUGACGG
Molecule: ribosomal RNA, 872 nt
Filed under: uncultured bacterium
Lineage: Bacteria
Description: bacterial SSU rRNA
Rfam family: Bacterial small subunit ribosomal RNA
Source: RNAcentral